This 71-nucleotide transfer RNA is filed under the name Megophrys gigantica. RNAcentral's name for it is "tRNA-Ile". It matches the Rfam family "tRNA". From Rfam's summary of the family: Transfer RNA (tRNA) molecules are approximately 80 nucleotides in length. Lineage: Eukaryota; Metazoa; Chordata; Amphibia; Anura; Megophryidae. The record is from RNAcentral. RNAcentral also lists the same sequence under 1 other name.
GGACAUGUGCCUGAAAGUUAAGGCUUACUUUGAUAGAGUAAUAUAUAGGGGUUCAAACCCCCUCAUUUCCU